This 111-nucleotide small RNA is filed under the name Salix viminalis (osier). Lineage: Eukaryota; Viridiplantae; Streptophyta; Magnoliopsida; Malpighiales; Salicaceae. The record is from RNAcentral.
UUUAAAUGAAGAAAAACACGAGGUCCCAUAUAGGGGCACAGGGCUCUAUAUAUAGUUUUCGCUCAUGCUGGACGAUUUUUCAUAUCAUCUUUGUUUAGAAGCUCGGCAAAA